RNAcentral lists this ribosomal RNA (494 nucleotides) under uncultured bacterium. RNAcentral's name for it is "partial 16S ribosomal RNA". It matches the Rfam family "Bacterial small subunit ribosomal RNA", at positions 29 to 507 of the family's 1533-position model. The record is from RNAcentral.
ACGAACGCUGGCGGCGUGCCUAAUACAUGCAAGUAGAACGCUGAAGGCGGAGCUUGCUCUUCUGGAUGAGUUGCGAACGGGUGAGUAACGCGUAGGUAACCUGCCUGGUAGCGGGGGAUAACUAUUGGAAACGAUAGCUAAUACCGCAUAACAGUAGAUGUUGCAUGACAUUUACUUAAAAGGUGCAAUUGCAUCACUACCAGAUGGACCUGCGUUGUAUUAGCUGGUUGGUGGGGUAACGGCUCACCAAGGCGACGAUACAUAGCCGACCUGAGAGGGUGAUCGGCCACACUGGGACUGAGACACGGCCCAGACUCCUACGGGAGGCAGCAGUAGGGAAUCUUCGGCAAUGGACGGAAGUCUGACCGAGCAACGCCGCGUGAGUGAAGAAGGUUUUCGGAUCGUAAAGCUCUGUUGUAAGAGAAGAACGAGUGUGAGAGUGGAAAGUUCACACUGUGACGGUAUCUUACCAGAAAGGGACGGCUAACUACGUG